Molecule: ribosomal RNA, 274 nt
Filed under: uncultured bacterium
Lineage: Bacteria
Description: partial 16S ribosomal RNA
Rfam family: Bacterial small subunit ribosomal RNA
Source: RNAcentral
CUACGAAAGGUGCAAGCGUUGUUCGGAUUUACUGGGCGUAAAGAGAGUGUAGGUGGUUUAUUAAGUCGGAUGCGAAAUCCCGGGGCUCAACCUCGGAACUGCAUUCGAUACUGAUAGGCUAGAGUUUGGGAGGGGUAAGCGGAAUUCCGUGUGUAGCAGUGAAAUGCGUAGAUAUACGGAGGAACACCUGAGGCGAAGGCGGCUUACUGGACCAAUACUGACACUGAGACUCGAAAGCGUGGGUAGCAAACAGGAUUAGAAACCCUAGUAGUCC